AAACAGGGUUUUUAAACGAUUUACAAGCUGCUUUAUAAGGAUUUUAAAAGUGUUGAAAAAGCUGCAGUAGCGGUUAUUAUGAAAAAAAAUUACAAUCGUUUUUAAAAUGAUUUACAACCGUUUUUAAAAGAGAUUUACAAACGAUUAAUAAGCUGUUUUAAAAGCGUUUUAAAAGUGUUGAAAAAGCUGCAGUAACUGUUAUUAUGAAAACAUUUACAACCGUUUUUAAAAGAGAAUUUCAACCGUUGAAAAAGUUACAGUAAUGUUAAACACUGUAUCUGUUACUAAUUGGGCCUAGGCCUGUUAUUUAGAAAAACAAACUGUUUUAGUUUA
RNAcentral lists this small RNA (333 nucleotides) under Arabidopsis thaliana (thale cress). RNAcentral's name for it is "ATSL098350". The record is from RNAcentral. Lineage: Eukaryota; Viridiplantae; Streptophyta; Magnoliopsida; Brassicales; Brassicaceae.